RNAcentral lists this long non-coding RNA (670 nucleotides) under Triticum aestivum (bread wheat). RNAcentral's name for it is "long non-coding RNA (TAES_LNC023058)". Lineage: Eukaryota; Viridiplantae; Streptophyta; Magnoliopsida; Poales; Poaceae. The record is from RNAcentral.
UCCCAUGCUCGGUACGUUCAACAGAAGUUCGCCAACACAGACCCAUGGGUCCAUGUGCAGUGAUAUAGCCUUGAGAACACUGGUCCUUCGCCGUAGACACGUAGCAGGCAACCACAGGAGGAUAGUGAUGUUAUUUCGCAGCACCUGGAAGGAGAUACAGAGAAUGGCCGCUUAGAAGAAACCGUCAUAUAUAUUAUAGGUUUUUCCUUUUUGUCGUUGACAUUUAAUUUAUUUUGCUGUUCGUUGGUCGAGGCAUAUAUGACACAAAUACGAGUUGUGCUGUAGACACGUAGAUGGAUCUCAUGUACGAGGUACGAUGUGAAGUGGAUGGAUGGAAUGAUAUGAAUAAGUAGUUAUUUGAACUCUGAUAAAAAAUCUCUAACCGCAGCAGAUUUGCUGCUCACUUCACUUGACCAGGCCAGGCAGGAAACAAGGGCUACUCAUUCGCAAAAAAAAAGGAAACAAGGGCUACUGGUUUUGCAUAUUUUUUCUCGCAGGAAAGGCUGAAUUUGGAGGCCCGGUGUUUGACAUUUGUUAUCUAUACAUAAUACAUUGUUGCUUGUUCAAAUAAUUUUGGGAGCUUGUCCAAAAAUUACUAAUAAUUCUGAGCUGGUAAGCCUCUUGAUUCGUACAUUCAACAACCUUCCAAAAGAAACGAAAAAAAAAAAAC